UGCUGAUGGUGGUGAGCGGCGCAGUGCUGGUGUACUUCGUCGUCAGGACGGUCAGGAUGAGAAGAAGAAACCGAAAGACUAGGAGAUACGGGGUUUUGGACACUAACAUAGAAAACAUGGAAUUGACACCCUUAGAGCAAGAUGAUGAGGAGGAGGAUAACACAUUGUUUGAUGCCAAUCAUCCUCGAAGAUAAGAAUGUGCCUUUUGAUGAGAAAACUUCAUCUUCUACAAUGAAGAGCAGACUGUCUAUGUUUAAGGAAUAAAAAGCCACUUUAUCAAUGGGGGGUAUUUAAGUUACAUAUAUUAUGAGAACCUUCAAUUUGUUGUUACAAUAGGUGUGUAUCAUUUGUUAGUUUUUCUCUGUAUAGAAGUGCUCUUAAUGGGCUCAGAGUUGUUGGGAGUAAUUGUACUAUAAUAGAGAUCUGAAAAUUACUUUAAAGCAGUGUGUUUUCUGAUGAGUUUCUCUUUCUUGUUUACCUUAUUAUUGUAAACUGUUUAUGUACUAAUCAGUUAACUUUAUUUAUAUAUGUGUGUGUGUGUGUGUGUAUAUAUAUAUAUAUAUAUAUAUAUAUAAUUUAUUUUUUGGCUGGUUAAGGAUUUUGUUUUUUGUUUUUUUUUUUCCUGGAACUAUAAAUCCCAGCAACCAACUGGUGUGUAACUACCAAGAUGUAUUUCCCAUUUUUGUGGGGAAAAGAAGCCAAAUUUAUUAUCUUGAGUUUGGGUUUUUUAAAUAAUAAAAAUGUCUGUGUUGUGUGUAAAACAAUAAAUACUAUUUAAAAUUCUUUGAAUGUGGUAUAAACAAGAUGUGUUUAUACAGUAAACCCAAAGCUAUAGAUUUAUAUAUUAGCGUAUGUAUUUUAUAUGAUUUCUUUAAAAAUCUGUCCAAAAGUUACUGUAUUUUAACAACUUCCUUGUUAAAUUAUGACACCACGUUGAUUAGAUAUUUCAGAAACCAGUGAAUUUCAAAGCCAUUUAAUUUGUUUACAGUAUUGUGAGAGAAGUACCAGUGAAAACAUUCCCAUCACGUUAUGACGUAGAAGAGGAAGGAAUUUUAAGUAUGUGCAUAGACUUUGGAGUCAGACCUAGAUACAGAGACUAACCUCAUUAUCUCCUGAACACGUAAUUAACCCUACUGAGGCUUCAGUUUUUCACAUUCUAAAAACUAGAGGAGAACUGACAGGAAAAGUAUGGGUCACGGACGCCUUUGCCUAGAGGGGCCAUGAAGGUAAUUUAAAUGUGUGUGUCAGGACAGGCUAGUUGAUAGAGUGGUAACAGAUGGUCCCCAGAUCACAGUGGGUAACAGCAAAGAUUUAUCUCUCACUCACACUGCCCAUUUGUUAUGGACGGUGAUUCUGCUCUUCAUGAUGUUUUCUCCAGGGCCGAACUGAUGAAGAAACCUCAGCUUGGAAUAUUGCCUCGUAGCUAAAUGUCCAGAUGUGGUGAACUGCAUGCUAGUUCAUAAGCGUCUGCCCUGAAGUCGUAUAUUUCAUUUCCAUCUACAUUUUGUUCCGAAACAAACCCUGAAGCCUCUCUGGAGUUCAGCAAGGCAAGGACAUAAUCCACGAGCAAUGAAGUAACUUGGAGUAUUUGACCACUUAAAAUGCCAAGUUAGUUUCUCCUGUAUGCUAACUGGCUUACCACAGUGAGCCAAGUCCCCCCAAUGUCAGUAUAUUUCUGUGUAUUAUGUAAACAGAGACUAAAGAGAAAAUAUAUUUCCUCUUCUAAAGGGAUCAGCCUUUGUUCAGCUCCCACUAGUAGUUAUUAUGAGGAACUGUUUACACAGUGUUGAUAAAUACUUUAAUUUCCGAAAGAAACCAAGCCUCCAGGUUUUAUAUGAAGGUUCAUCGUUUAAAAAUAUUAUAACCAGAUCAUAC
RNA transcript from Capra hircus (goat), 1875 nucleotides. It is a transcript of the gene named family with sequence similarity 174 member A, with no coding region annotated. The transcript is spliced from 3 exons. Lineage: Eukaryota; Metazoa; Chordata; Mammalia; Artiodactyla; Bovidae. The record is from RefSeq and is a predicted model, not a curated record.